Molecule: long non-coding RNA, 7029 nt
Organism: Cavia porcellus (domestic guinea pig)
Lineage: Eukaryota; Metazoa; Chordata; Mammalia; Rodentia; Caviidae
Exons: 3
Source: RefSeq, a predicted model, not a curated record
GGAGGAAGCUCAGCAGGUAUGCAGUGUGCCCAGAGGAAAAGCAGAAGUCUUUGUAGCCAGCUCUCCACUGUGUGCAAGGAGAGCGGGAAAGCAGUUGUCACAGCCAGGGGGACGCCUGCCAGCCCCGACUUCUCAGUUCCCUCACCCUGCCCACUACCAAGUUUGGUUUGGGCUUCUUCUAGCCCUACAGCAACCAAAGAGCUGUAGCGAAUACUAGUGCUGUGUCAGUGAUACGUGGGCCUACAGGAAAAAUAGAUGCCAGAGCCCUGCCUCGCUGCUCCACAGGGCCACUUCACAGGCAGCAUCCACAUGCGCAUCAGCCAAGCUCCGGCUUAGGGGCAUAUCAGCGUGGAUUUCCAAGGGAGAGAGCACAGGGCAUUCUUGAAGCAGCACUGAGCCUUUAUUCCCGGGCAAAGAACUGAAUCUAUAGCUACAUGAAAAGAAUGUAGAGGAGAUGCACCUCCCUGUCCUGGCCUGUUUCUUCACAGUCUUCAGUCAAGACAAGAAAUAAGCACACUGAAUGCCAAGGCAGAGGUGAGGCUCCAGCCGAGCCCCAUGAAACCAGGUCACUUUAUGUCACAAUGAUAUAGGAGAAACACAACUCCCAACCUGCCAGACGUCAGAUAUGCUGAGUUUGUGUCUCCUGGAACAGAAGAAUGAAUUCCAAAGGACACAGGAGGUUGAGUAAGAAAGGUUUACCAGGAAAAUAGGAGUAGCUCCUGAGAGACAGGAGGGCUUCCAAGUCAGUGGCUGCUGAGGCCUUAGUCAAGGAUAUUCACACAGCAAAGCCAUAAUACAGUACAAAGUGAGCCCCGAGCUGAAAUCAACCAAUCAGAUUAUACCUAUAGCCACUUAGCUCACACUAAUUCAACAGGGAAGCCGGACCAAUAACAAGGACACAAGGCUGGCACCAUUAACCUUGGCUUAUCCAAGACUUCUGAAACAGGAACAUUUCUGGAAGGGACAGGCCCAGGUGUUCUGGUCACCCACUCAGGUAUCUGAUACAUACUGGACUUAAUGGACCAGGUACUGAUUAGAAUUCUGCUUAUCCCUUGGGGUAGUGUAAAAGCUGGGCCAUUGUGACAUUAUCUGGAGGGCCUGGCCUUCUUUAGAUAUGCCUCCAGCCAUGAUUCUGGUAUCUGUAUUUUUACUGACUUCCUUGAGAGCCCCAUUCCUCUCUGUUAUUAAUUUCUCUCUAGCUUAGCUCUCCAUAAUAAUAUGAAAAAAUCACAGAAAGCAGUUUUCAAAAGCCGGAUGUUCCUUUGCAGAACCACUUUGUCCAGCAGUGGAAACAUGUAAGAAAGAAACACACAACAUAUAGGAAUAGGGGAGCAAAAUUUUUAAUUACUCAAAGAAAAUAGCUUUUAAAAAGAAAAGAGCAGCUAGGCAUAUUGCCAUAGGCCCAUAAUUGCAGCAUUUUGGGAGGCUAAGGCCGGAGGAUUUAAAAUUUAAGUCCUUUCUGGGCAAGUUAGUAAGACUGUACUCAAAAAAUAUAAAAAUAUCUGGGGAUGUAGCUCAAUGCAAAGGGCCUGGUUUCAAUCCCCAGCACUGGGGGUGUGGUGGGGGAACAUACUGUAUUUAUCAAAGGACAAUAUACAGCAAUUUACUCUAGCAGCUUUAAUUGCUUUUCUUUUCAAUUCUAGAAUCAGGCAACAUUUCAUUCCGUAAGUAGAGUACAUAUUCUGACUUCUGAGAAGAGAAGAUUGUUUUUAUAGAGAAAGGCUUGAAAAGUGCAGAAACAAAAAUGAAGAGAGACGGAUCAUUUCAAGAUCCUUUAGGAGGACAGGGAGACAGAGCAAUAGGGGUGUAGCUGACUGGUGAAUGUGGGUAAGUCCACAUCUUCCUUCCUCUGCCGCUGUUAGGGCAAGAGGGAACUUCCUUGUCAGGUCCGCUGGAACUGGCCUGUUGGGGAAGUUGGCUGUUUCCUACUAAGCCUGGCUUUGUCUCUUUUUACAUGGAUAGCUUAGUACCACUGUGUAAGGGAAAGAUGGGAAAAAAAUCAGAGUCGGUCACUAGGGAGAUUUAAGCUUCUAUCCAGAUGAAAUCACUUCUUCCAAUAUAAAUGGCCUUUUAGGCUUUUUUUAAAGCGUCAAAGUAAAAAUAAAGUCACCAUGUGAAUCUGAUUUGGUCUACCAUUUCCCUGAAAGCCAGUAAGGAAGAGGUGACACCAACGGUGGCUUCCUGGUGCUUCUGUCCUUAGCCUCCCCAGGAAUCUUGCAGUUUGAAGCCAAGCACAGUUUCCCUUCUGUUCUGUUCUUCACACCUAACCCCACCGAGAGGCUCUAGACGGCAGAGAGACUCCUGCUCCUGAGGGAUAUGCUGAAGCGCUCUCGGCAAGGGCAUGCUGUCUGGGACUGCUUUUAACAGACUCACACAUACCCAUGCUUGCCACACUCAUGCACACAUCCAUUGUCACACCCACACCCACUCACAUACACACACAUGCAGUGUGACAAAAAGACUAAGCAGGUGUGUCUGAACGUAAACCAGUGGUGGCUCUGGAUAAGAUACAGGCAAGAUUCUCUGUACUGUUCUACUUUUUGUAUGGUUGAAACUUUUCAAAAUUAAAUUUACAGGCAAAAGAACAAAAAAUGAAUGUCGCAGUUCCAGGACAAUGUCACUUGGUGGAAGCUGGGCUUCAAAUCCGUUCUGUGUCUUUCUGUGUCACCUACCUCCCAAAGAUUUCCAGAAUGCAACUUCUGAGCAACCAAAAUGCUGCUCAUGAGAGGGGCUCCAAGUUCUCUACAGUCCUUUUGCAUUCCAGGGCAGGCAGGACCUCAGCUGGGUGCCCUCCCAGGCAGACUAGAAGGGCCUCCCACCCCAUCCCCCAUCCUGGGGCUGGGAGAGCAGAGUGAGCAGCCCCACCUAGUGUCAGGACAGGAGCUGCGUGCACCACACCCGUAGGCGUGGCACCCAUCCACCUCCCGUUCCCAGCCUCUUGCCCUGAGACCUGAGUUUCCACAGAGCCAUACGGCACAGGGGGAGCAUGGGCUUUGGAGAGGAACCGCACACUGUAGGUGCUCAGUAAAUACUUGUUGACUGCAUGGACUGCGUGGAUAAAAACAGACCAGCCACCUUCCAGUAUCAGUAGGAUUUUGUGGUUAAUAUUGUUGAGAGGAGGUUCUCUUGUCUGUGUUUUAUUUAGUUUGGUUUGGUUUGGUAGCUUGCCAGGCAAGUACUUCACAUCUGAGUAACGCCCCUACACCUUUUUAAAAUUUUACCUGAGACAGGAUCUCACUAAUUUGCCAAAGCUGGCCUCAAAUUUAUAACCUUCCUGCCUCAGCUUCCUGAGCAGCUGGGACUACAGGUAUGUGCCACCGCACUCAGCUUGCUAUUAUGGUUUCAAGCAAGCUGUUUAAUAUCUCUGAGCCUCUGUCCCCUUAUGUGGAAACUGGGGACAAUAUCAGCCUGGUGAGGGCUGCAUAGUCUGAGAGGGAAAAAGAAAGUGCAUGUUCCCUGGGGUGUGGUACACCAGGGCUAGCAGCAGCCAGUCCUCAGUGAGGAACCUAAAUGGAUGGGUGCCUUCUUGGGACAGGAGACCUGGAGUCACAGGCCUUCUUCCAUGACCUGCUGUCACUGUCUUUGUUACUUUUCUCGUUGCUGAGACAAAAACACUUGGGGCUGGGGAUUUAGCUCAGUGGCAUAAAUGCCUGCCUGGGAAGUGUGAAGUCAUGAGUUUGAUCCCCAAUACAAAAAAAAAAAAAAAAAAAAGAAAGAAAGAAAGAAAGAAAAAAUUUGACACUCAAAGUUAAAGGAGGAAAGGUUUAUUUAGCUCGCAGUUGGUAGAAGUUUUGGUCCACCAUCAGCUUGCUCCAAGGCUGGGUGGCCUGGCAGACAGGCAGACAGAAACAGUCCAUGGCAGGCAGAGGGCAGUCAAACAGCAAGCAGUGAGGUGGCAAAGCAGCAAAUGACCAUCAAGGGCAGUAGCCUUGCGCUGUCCCUUACGUUCCAUCCAGGCUACCUGCCCUGCACAGGGUGGGCCACACAGGGUGGGCCUCCUGCGAGAUCCACACCCAGAGCCAUGCCAAACAGUCAGCAGGCUGACUUAGAAUCACACACUCUGCAUCCCAGCAUCACACACUCUGGCUCCAGCCAGCUCUACUCUGAGAGAUCCCACCUAUGACUGAAAGGGAAAUUAACAUUUUAAAUAAAAGCCUGCCAAGAAAGCCUGGCAAAACCAAAUGAGCAUCUCUGGAUCUCCCUGAUAAUAAAACCUUCUUUCCUUUGUGCAAACUUGUCCAACUGAUGACCUUGCAAUGUAACUUAAAAUGUAACAGGACAUUGACCCAUGCUUUGUAUAGCCAAUGGCCUUACAACGUAACCUUUUUUUUUUUUUUUUUUUUACCGGGGAUCAAACUCAAGACCUCGCACUUGCCAGGCAGGUGCUUAUACCACUGAGCUAAAUCUCUGGCCUUUACAAUGUAAUCUUAAUUGUUCAAACUCCCUUAGCAACCCAAGAUGUUACCCAACCCUCCAAUCAUAGCAUAUUAAAUCUGCCUUUGAAUCUCCCCCUUAUUUUCCCCAUAAAACCCCCAAAUCCUGCUGGGCAGGACUCUGGCUCUUUGGGAAAGAUCCCUAGUAAGAGGCCAACUGGUAUAAUAAACUGCCUCUUAAACCUCCUUGGGAACAUAUUUUCCCAUGUGUGGUCUGUUUUCCACAACCUCAUGUAGAUUUGAGGGGAUAUCUAGACACAAGCCAUAAUGCCACUAAAAGGAGACAUCAGCAUUUCUCUGUUCAGUCUGUACCCUCUCCUUAUCCCCUGCUGUUACAGCAGGGAUCAUGAUGGGGAGUGGAGGGAGACAUUUCCAAGGGAGAGCAUAGUAUUAAUCCAUAGCUUACCAGAAGAGAGUACCUCAAAACUUGACAGAGAACACUAAAAUUCCAUACUCAUGACCGGCGGCAAAGUCCCAGCCUAUGCACAUCCCAUCAGAGAAGCCAUAAAGCUGGUCCUUCUUUUGUUACCAGCUCAGUCUGCUCAUCAGAGCUGCCCCUCCUUCAUUCGGCUCCUCAAGCUAAAGGCCCUUUUUCUAUUUUCUCUUGCUUUCUAACUGCCUAAAAAUCUGCCCAUGCCUCCCAGUGACAUGUCCUGAAAUACUCUCUGUCUGAUGAAAGUCAGUGAACCUACUCCAUGGCAAGGGGUGGGAACCCUCUCAGACUCCACCCAGGGAUAUAGCUGUUUCAUGAUUUCCAUUCACAUGCAGCAAAAGAACCCCUGGCUGAUUGGUAACAGACAGAGCCAGACAGGCAGUAAAGGGAGAACAGAAGAGAAAACGCAAAUCAGCGCUUUCUUUUCAAAGACUCAGGAUGAGGGGACAAGAUGGCCUGGGGGAGGCAUGUCUGUCCCACACAGCAGACCCGUAAGGUGCCACUGAGGAAGAGCAGAGCCUUGUCAUGAGGGGAACUAGAGCCUGCACCAUGGCCUGCCCAGACUAAGUACAGGUUCCAAGAGUAGCACCCCAGAGAUGGUACACAGGAAAUCUGAGGCCCAGAGACCAGAAAGAGAAGUGAACAGCUGUAGUUAGGGGCUCCAAGGAGUGAGGAAUGGAGACCAAGGUCUGAGACCCAAUUCUUACCCAGUGGCUGGUGGGGUUGGGGCGAAGCUCAUAGCCGUGAGUUCUCCAGCUUCGCCUCACUUGCUUGCAAAAACACAGGAAAGACAGCUGCCCAAAUUGUGAACACCACACCCGCCAUAUCAUUCCACAUCCCAGUUAACAAAACCAAGAUAGAAAAAUGACCCAGUGGGAAGAACAGCAGCUUCAAACCUGCAAAGAUAAAAUGUGGCAGAAACAAAGAGAAAUCCUGUGAUUCCAGUUGCUAAAUGCAGGAGAGGUGGCACUGGUGAAAGGCAGCUCCCGUGGCAGGGGGACAGGUUCAUGUCCUCAUAUUCUGGGCCUUCUCACUUAGGUAUCAGUCUCUGAAUCUUGGAGGCUUAAUAUCUCUUUCUUAAAAGCUUUGGGAUGAGGAGGCCAUGACAGAUAUGGGUUCAGGUACACACAAUGUUCAUAGCACUGUGUUAUAUGCUUGUCGUUUGCUUGACUUGAGAUUGACAAAUCUCAAGUGUUCUCACCCCAAAUGAAAGGUAACACAAGAGGGAAUGGAUGUGAUAAUGAACUUAAUUGGAGUUCUCAUCUUGUAACAUUUACUUGCAUAUAGUAAUCAUCUUGUAUACUUUGAGUAUAUUCAACUCUAAAAAUUAUACUUCAAUAAAACUGAUGGAAAGACUGACACUCCUACACAAUCUACCCAUUCUACCCUAAAUUAUUCCUAAUUUGUUAACCCAAAGCAAUGCAAUCAGACAGUGAAGAAGUAGGUUCGGGAUGUGUUACAGUGUCAGGGAGCCUAACAAGAUAUUCCCAACCUCCUCUGAGUCAUUCUACAGAAAAAGAAGAACCAAAAUACAUUUAGAAAACUCUGAACACCCUUCUCAAAAUGGAUCAGAAGCCAAAUUAAUAACUUGAGCGCUGGCAUUUCUUGAUGUCCUUAGGGUAAAGAAAAAAGAAUGUAUUUAUAAAUCACCUAUUCUCUACCACAUUCUUACAGUAUCCACUUAAACCUCCCAACAACUCCAGUAACACCAGUAAGAGUUAUUAUCAUCUCUGCUCUGCAGAUGAGGAGCCAGAGGUCCACGGAGGGUGCUGGUUGGCCAGUAGAGGAGAGAGCCAGAGUACGGGCACAGGGACUUCUGGGAAGGUUUUCCUCCAGCGCUUUCCUCAGCAGGAGGCUGUAAGGAGCCAGCAAGAGAGUGGGCUUUAGAGCAUCUGAAUCAGGGAGUGGGAUUUAGAGCAUCUGAAUCAGGGAGUGGGCUUUAGAGCAUUUGAAUCAGGGAGUGGGCUUUAGAGCAUCUGAAUCAGGGCUAGGCUAACUUAAGGUAUUUGUAAAACCUAAAGACUUUAGAAAACAAUGAAUGUUUUCUAAUGUUUACAUUGAUUACAUGUUGAAAUUAUAUCUGUGUAUGUACUGCAUUAAAUAAAACAUACCAUUAAAUUAAUUGGUCUGUUUCUUUGUCCUUUUUAAAUGUAAUUGCUAAAG